AUUGAACGCUGGCGGCAGGCUUAACACAUGCAAGUCGAGCGGGGUGAUGGUGCUUGCACUAUCACUUAGCGGCGGACGGGUGAGUAAUGCUUAGGAAUCUGCCUAUUAGUGGGGGACAACAUCUCGAAAGGGAUGCUAAUACCGCAUACGUCCUACGGGAGAAAGCAGGGGAUCACUUGUGACCUUGCGCUAAUAGAUGAGCCUAAGUCGGAUUAGCUAGUUGGUGGGGUAAAGGCCUACCAAGGCGACGAUCUGUAGCGGGUCUGGGAGGAGACUCCGCCACACUGGGACUGAGAAACGGCCCAGACUCCUACGGGAGGCAGCAGUGGGGAAUAUUGGACAAGGGGGGGAACCCUGAUCCAGCCAUGCCGCGUGUGUGAAGAAGGCCUUAUGGUUGUAAAGCACUUUAAGCGAGGAGGAGGCUCUUUUGGUUAAUACCCAAGAUGAGUGGACGUUACUCGCAGAAUAAGCACCGGCUAACUCUGUGCCAGCCGCCGCCGUAA
RNAcentral lists this ribosomal RNA (503 nucleotides) under uncultured bacterium. Its description in RNAcentral is "partial 16S ribosomal RNA". It matches the Rfam family "Bacterial small subunit ribosomal RNA", at positions 30 to 523 of the family's 1533-position model. The record is from RNAcentral.